Molecule: long non-coding RNA, 2239 nt
Organism: Taeniopygia guttata (zebra finch)
Lineage: Eukaryota; Metazoa; Chordata; Aves; Passeriformes; Estrildidae
Source: Ensembl
GCCAUUAUCAUACAUAGCCAUGUCCACAGUGCAGCCUUAGGUUGUAAACAGUGAUGUGGUUUUGACAGUUGACAUAUAAAUAAUGAAAAGUUUUAACAGGAGGAAGCAAUUUUACUGAAAAGCCAACAGCCUUUUGUUUUGUUUUGUCUUUGGAAAAACAACAUUAUACUGUGGUUCUUUUUAUCUGUGCACAAUCUUUUACUGGUCUCUCUGUGAGGCCAUUUAGUGUUGGCCAUUCCCUCUGCUUUAUUGAAAAAUAUGGUCUAAGACUUCUCACCUACCUGUCCUCCUGCCUUUGGCCCAGCAAUUCAUUUUGCUUUCUCCAAAACCAAAUCUAUUCUUUUGAUGAUACAUUCCAUUCAGCUCCUGACCUCAGCUCCUGUGUGCUUCCCUUGUCCAUCACAACCUCAGGUCAGUAAAUGAAGACUCUAAGAAAAUACCAAAAUAAAUAUUGCCCAUGGACUGCCAUUCACUUGUGACUUGUGGUCAUGAGGUAAAAUACAUUAUCACAUCCUGCUUUCUGCCCAGAUUCUGUUUUCAUUUGUUGUAGAUGUCAGAUGAACCAGGACUCUGCAGUCCUGAGGUGGUGGCUGUUUUGUGGACAGUUUGGAGGCUGAGCAGUAAGCCUAGCAGAUGAGGACAGGUAGGAAAAGUCAUGGUCACAGGCAUUUGAAUUGAAAUUGAAAACUGGAUUUUGUCACCCUUUGUGAAAUUUACUGUUAUGAAGCUUGGUGACUCAAUAAAACUUACAUUCUUCCCAACUUCUGUACAUGUGGUCCCCAUUUUCUGUGUGUCCACUUUCAGUCACCCAUGACUAAUUUGUGGAAAUUCUGCCCACUGUACCUAGAGCAAAAAGGGCUGUGAGCUGUUUGUUCUCUGAGGAAAGAAGGUGCUAAGUACUCUGGAAGCUUAGGUUCUAAAUUCCUUUAAUAGAGUACCCAAAAUAUACUGACAUGUUUGAAAAUACUGCCUUUUAUCUCUGUCCCUCAGCAGGGAGCUGUGAAGAUAAGUUCCUUGAUGUUUGUAAAAAACCCCCCAGCCCUCCAGCACUACAAUUAGAGCACCACAAUAGAAAAGCCAAUGAGGAAAUUAAUCAUUCUGUAUGCAAUGUGAGAUCUGGAUGCUCUGCAAUAAAUAGUACAUGCACCACACACUGGAUGAUAAGGAUAGGAGAAAAUUUGAAUAGUGUUCAUUAAGUGAGCAACAUUCAUCCCUUGCACUGUAAAAAAUGAGAGACCCAUGGAUACAAAAAUCAUAUUAUUAAAGAUUGUAUCAUAGUAUUUGUAUGCUGGGCAAAUUAAUGCUCCAUGGGUGAUCUUAAAUCUGGCAUUCACUACCUUGCUUUUUUUUUUUUUUUUUUUUUUUUUUUUUUUUUUUCAGAAAGGGCAAAACUAAUCUCUUUGGGGAGUUGCCAGUGGGGAGGGUAGAGGACAUCCAACUAGGUGCUGUUGUGUGCAGCUAGGUAUCAGUGCCUAUUCUUUGUGUCUCUGUGUGUGUGUGUAUGUGUGCGUGGCUAGCCCGUGCUUAUGCAGCUGGCUGAUGCUUCCCUUUGAAAAACCCUUUUCCAAUUAAAAAAAAAAAAUAGAAGGGACAUUGACAACUGCUAAUGCCUGAGGUUUAGAUUACAAAGUUUUAUAUAGUGUUUUGUGGUUCAGAUCUUCCUUUAUAGAGCCUCUGUUUGGUUCUGAGUCACCUAAACACCCCAAAUCUGUUUGAAUGAUGGGCCAAGUGUUUGUGGGAGUUAUCAUAAGGUGCUUUUAUGGUAGAUCUUUUAUGGCUGUGUUAUUAGAAGGGCUGACAUGCUGAGGAUUCACAGAGACCAGUAUUCAAGGUGCGCUGGAAUGAUAAAAAAUAUUAGUAGAUGUAAUUUGUUAUAUCUAUGUUUGGUUUGAUUACUGUCUUGUGUUUGAAAUCUUGUAAUUAGGGCAGUGAACUGCCUCCAGAGCCAGCACUGCUUCAGGUAAUACAACACUAGGACGAGUUCCUUUGACUUCAGUAGGUGAUUCUUCACAAAGAAUGAAGGCUGGAGCCCAUGUAAAUUAUACAUCACCUCUGGGGAGCUGCAGAUCACAGGGAGAGCAGGGAAAUACUGAGGGCCGUCUCUCCCUGUUGAAUAACUGAAUUAGAAGUAUAGAUCCGUGGGAAUCGGCAGCACCUUGACUUGCUCGAUCCCCUCCCCCACUAGAUGGCACUGAAUUCUUUUUCUUUAAACGGAAAAAAAAAAAAAAAAAAAAAAAAA